Molecule: ribosomal RNA, 253 nt
Filed under: uncultured bacterium
Lineage: Bacteria
Description: partial 16S ribosomal RNA
Rfam family: Bacterial small subunit ribosomal RNA
Source: RNAcentral
UACGUAGGGCGCAAGCGUUGUCCGGAAUUAUUGGGCGUAAAGAGCUCGUAGGCGGUUUGUCGCGUCUGCUGUGAAAACGCGAGGCUCAACCUCGCGCCUGCAGUGGGUACGGGCAGACUAGAGUGCGGUAGGGGAGAUUGGAAUUCCUGGUGUAGCGGUGGAAUGCGCAGAUAUCAGGAGGAACACCGAUGGCGAAGGCAGAUCUCUGGGCCGUUACUGACGCUGAGGAGCGAAAGCGUGGGGAGCGAACAGG